CAGGAAACGGGCNAGGGUUCUUUCCACCAGUUAAAAGGUUUAGGUGAGGUUACCUUAAAAGGAUAUUUGGCGUUAAUUCGGAAGUUAUUCCAGCCAUUAAGGAUGUAUAAGUUUGGUAAUGUGGUGCCGGUAUUAGGUUUAAAACAAUGGGGUUUGGCCAUAUAAGGUAAAUUUUGGUAAUGGGGUUCCAUUCAGAAUUAAUUUUGGAGGAAUGCCGGUAUUGGAUUUGCCCUAUUAAAUAAAUUACCGUGUUAUGAAAGGGUUAGGUGGUGCCGGGGAAAGGGGAAAUUGGGUUUGUUUUCGGGGGGAAAGCCUUAAAAAAGGGUUUUACCUUCCAGGGAGGCCGCCGGGGGGGAAAUUUCCCCAUUUCCAUUGGGGGGAGGAGGGGAGUGAAAAGGCCAAGUUCCUUUUUUUUUGGGAGGGACCAUGGAAAGGGUUAAUUUUAAAUUCCUUUAAGGUUAUCAAUGGGGGGGCAAGUUUGGGGCCCGCCGGCGGGGGAAUUUCCGGUUUUCUUAUGCCAUGAAAUGGUGGUGCGGUUAAAAAAUUUGUAAUUGCAAAUGUUCGGAGGGGGAUGGUUUAAUUUUUUGGUAGUUAUAUUUACUCCGGUUAGAGGUAAUAUGGUUGAUAGCCAUAUAACUCAGUUACUUUGAGUAAAUCAGAGUGCUUAGAACAAGCGUAUUGCUUGAAUGGUUGUGCAUGGAAUAACAAUACAAUGCAUUGAUAUUUGUUUUGUUGGUUUUAAUGUCAAUGAAUGAUUAAAAGGAACAAACGGGGGCAAAAGUAUCAUAAGGCGAGAGGUGAAAUUUCGUGGACCCUGAACAAGG
This 824-nucleotide ribosomal RNA is filed under the name Halicephalobus sp. CFB175. RNAcentral describes it as "partial small subunit ribosomal RNA". It matches the Rfam family "Eukaryotic small subunit ribosomal RNA", at positions 80 to 935 of the family's 1831-position model. The record is from RNAcentral. Lineage: Eukaryota; Metazoa; Nematoda; Chromadorea; Rhabditida; Panagrolaimidae.